This 743-nucleotide long non-coding RNA is filed under the name Arabidopsis lyrata. Its description in RNAcentral is "long non-coding RNA (ALYR_LNC002210)". The record is from RNAcentral. Lineage: Eukaryota; Viridiplantae; Streptophyta; Magnoliopsida; Brassicales; Brassicaceae.
GCUAAUGAGAUCUGCUUCCAGAAGCUUGAAUAUGUUCUCACGCAGCUUGAUGAUCUGAAACAAACUGCUGGCCAGUAUCCUUCUUCUGAUUGAGCUCGCUACAAAAAAAAAAACAAAAAAAAAAAAAGAAACUUUAAGCAGAUGUAGAUUUUACUAGUUGUGUCGUCUUCAUCGGUAUUGAUAUUCAUAAAAAGGCUUACUUGAAGAACAACUAUUGUGAUAUAGUUUCUAGAUCAGUUGUAGGUUAUCCCAUUAAAGUAUGUCCGAUUUUUACGUAUGAGUCUCUGGUUGCACAAGUAAGAUAUUCUCCUACUUGCUAUAUUAGAUUUUGCAAAAAGAUUAGGUGAAUUUGGUUAGGACAUUCACCUGACAAUGAUCUGUUCCAAGAAUAUUAGAUCAUCCAUUGGGAAUUAUCAACGUCAGGUUAUGGAGAAACCGAACCAAUUUUAUGCCAGAGAGAACCGGACCAAUUUAAUUGCGGUUACACCUAUCAUUAGAAAUGUAGAACAAGAAACGAGGAAAUUUAUGCCUGUAUCGAUCAAAACUUGUAACCAAAAGUGCUAACAACUCAAUUAUAUGAACCAUUCAUAGCAUCAAGCCAUCAACAGCUGAAAUUCCCGGUUAGAUGUGAUAAAACCAAAGCGGUUAAUAAGGGUUAAUGAGAUUGAGAACCAAUAUUUCCGGGUUGGCGGUUACGCCGUUUCGUGCUCUUCUGUUUUAGUUCCAGCUCAAGAGACGCGUUG